Molecule: long non-coding RNA, 925 nt
Filed under: Phasianus colchicus (ring-necked pheasant)
Lineage: Eukaryota; Metazoa; Chordata; Aves; Galliformes; Phasianidae
Description: lncRNA (ENSPCLG00000020648.1)
Source: RNAcentral
UUCUAAUUCAAACCCAUGUUAAAGAAUGUUGGCUAGCUGUUUCUAGAGAUACCUGAGGAAAUAUGUGUUGAUUGAUGGAGGGUACAUCAAGGCAGUGUCACUGAGUGCUGCCAUAGGUACUCAGCCAAACCCCUCAAGCUUUGGUCCUGUUUCUGCUGUGUGAGUGUUACUGAGCUCACAGUCCUCGUGCUGUGCAUGAGGUGGUCUCCAUUCUGUAUUCUGCGAAGUGAUGAUAAAAGCCUGUAGCUCACCUACAGUGCAGCAGAGCUGCAAAUGAGAAAUAAAAUGGACACAUCAGUAAGCCAGACUUGGUCUGAUUAGUAAAUUAUACUCCUUUGAACCUGUAAUGCUACUCGUUUUGGUUUUUAGGAGUGUGCUUUCAACUAAAAAUCUAGUUGGCCUUUAAAAUGUACUAGAACACAAAUUUGAUAGAGAAAUCCAACAAUCUUCAAUCCAAAAUCAGUUUUGAAUGAAGUAAAGCAGUGCAUUUCUGUAUGUAUUCAGAAUAUUCUUUUAAUGUCUGACAUUCCAUGUAGUUCUGACCACCUCCAAACAUUUCUAAAGGAGCUCUUAAUAAAGAGACUUAACUCAUGUAAUGUUACAUGCUGUGCUUCAUUGUAAAUUGAGUAUGAUCCUGAAUUUGUUUGUUUAUUUACAGAGGAAUGGAAUGUUCUGCAGGUGCUGCAGCUCCAUGAUUUCUAUCAAAAGGGCAUCUUACUAGGUGUUAGCCAGACUGGUUUCUUUCCUCCCUAAAGUAACGGAAGAUUGGACCCUUCCUUUGAUGAGCACAGGCAGAUUAUGUAUUAUACAUUCAAGCUCAUGGCUGACCUUUGGAGAUGCAUAAAUGAAAAAAGCAGCUGUUUGAAUUGCACUUUCCAGUCUCUUGGGAUCCAAAAUUGGGAUGCUAUUUAAUACGUGCUUAUUU